CGCAGUGGCUCACACCUGUAAUCCCAACACUUUGAGAGGCCAAGGCAGGCGGAUAACCUGAGGUCAGGAGCUCGAGACCAGCCUGGCUAAUGUGGUGAAACCCCAUCCCUAUUAAAAAUACAAAAAAAUUGGCCAGGCGUGGUGGCGGACGCCUGUAAUCCCAGCUACUUGGGAGGCUGAGGCGGGAGAAUCACUUGAACCUGAGAGGUGGAGGUUUCAAUGAGCUGAGGUCACGCCACUGCACUCCAGCCUGAGCGACAGAGCGAGACUGUCUCAAAACAAAACAAAACAAAACAAAAAAAGUACAAACACAUAUGCAAUAUAAUUACUCUGACCAUAAGACAAUUAUUAGGUUGGUGCAAAUGGAAUUAUUGCAGUUUUUGCCAUUACUUUCAAUGGCAAAAACCACAAUUACUUUUGCUCCAACCUAAUACGAUUUUAUUUACAAAAUUCAGUAUCCAUUGCAGACGAUACAGCCUCAUAAUAGGAUAUAAGCUUUAAAAGUUGCAUCCUCUUUAUUCUGUAUAAUGUGUCUCUAUAAUUAUCCUGACACUGGAGAUGGCAAAGACUAAAUCUGAGCUCUUUCAUGAACAUGAGGCUGCUGCCUAAGUGGGCUUCCUGGUGAGCCACACAACCCCACCCACACAUCUAGUCUGUGGUAGAGUCUCGUGCUCCAGUGUUCUGUCCCCAUCUUUUUUCUUUGCUUCAAAUUCCUCUGAAGGUCAUGCUUAAAAGUCCCACAUUUACUGAAUUUCUCCUUCAUCAUAGCUCCAUGUGAGACACAGUGAGGGAUUCUAGGCUGACUUUCAUGGAAUCUAUCCAAUAGCUUGAAAUGAAAAGAAGAGAAAGUAGCAAAUCGAACAACAACAAUAACAAAGUACAGAUGAAAACCAUGUGUAAAGGACCACGCUCCAGCAGUUUCUGUCUUUUCAAUGAAGUACAUUCCUCUCCCACCAAGAAAUUUCACUCUGGUAGAAGACUCCUGCCACGACCACCAAGCUUUCUCAGAGGUACUCCCCUGGUUCUUAAAGAAACCACAGGCAGAAUGAGGGACUCUUACAUCUGAAACAGGGGCACAAUCCCAGAGAGUGAGCUUAAUCAAUAAUCACGGUACAAUUUAUCGAUUGUCCAUGUGAGAUGACAUGGGAAAGAAGGUUCCAUGUGCCUCUCAGAGGCCUUUUCCCAACCUCCUUCCUGUCUCUGUUCCCAUGUGAUUCCCACUUUUGAACCCAGCCUUUGGGUGUGUGCCUAUGCUCUGGAACCAGUUAGGAUUUUACACAGAAGAGAUAUAAAAUGCAACAUUGAUUGUCUAUAAGAACUGGAAAUAAAGAGCCUAUCAAGAAG
This 1344-nucleotide long non-coding RNA is filed under the name Pan troglodytes (chimpanzee). Its description in RNAcentral is "lncRNA (ENSPTRG00000053875.1)". Lineage: Eukaryota; Metazoa; Chordata; Mammalia; Primates; Hominidae. The record is from RNAcentral.